Terrapene triunguis (Three-toed box turtle) is the source of this 294-nucleotide long non-coding RNA. RefSeq lists it as uncharacterized. The transcript has 3 exons. The record is from RefSeq and is a predicted model, not a curated record. NCBI's taxonomy places the organism in Eukaryota, Metazoa, Chordata, Testudines, Emydidae.
UGAGUAUAUCACUAGUGUGUUAGAGUUUUAUUCACCAGUUCACAGAACCAUUACUUUUUAAAUGUAUUUCAAUAGACAAUGAGGAUCCAGUCCAUCACAGAGUAUCCACAACUUUCCAGACCAACAUAUGUGCCAGACAUCUGCAUCACAGUAGACCGAUCUAUUCAGGAGAAAUUUCAACCCAGUGAGAAUUCAGGAGCAAAGAUUGGGGAUGUCUUUCCCAGGAAGAUGUGCAUUAUUAUGGCUGAACCACCCCAAUGCUGAGAGAAAUUUUCAGAAGAGUUACACCAUAGA